This 507-nucleotide ribosomal RNA is filed under the name fungal sp. NY6752a. RNAcentral describes it as "eukaryotic LSU rRNA". The stretch from base 194 to 347 matches the Rfam family "5.8S ribosomal RNA". Lineage: Eukaryota; Fungi. The record is from RNAcentral.
GAUCAUUACACAAUAUUACGGGGGGCCGGACCCAAGUCUGUCUUCAAACCGCAGCUUGACCCGCCCUGUCUGAUAUUCUACCCAUGUCUUUUGCGUACUUUUUUGUUUCCUUGGUAGGCUUGCCUGCCGUUAGGACAACCAUUAAAACCUUUUUGUAAUUGCAAUCAGCGUCAGAAAAAAACUUAAUAGUUACAACUUUCAACAACGGAUCUCUUGGUUCUGGCAUCGAUGAAGAACGCAGCGAAAUGCGAUAAGUAGUGUGAAUUGCAGAAUUCAGUGAAUCAUCGAAUCUUUGAACGCACAUUGCGCCCCUUGGUAUUCCAUGGGGCAUGCCUGUUCGAGCGUCAUUUGUACCCUCAAGCUCUGCUUGGUGUUGGGUGUUUGUCCCGCCUUUUGUGCGUGGACUCGCCUUAAAGCGAUUGGCAGCCGGCAUAUUGGCCUUGGAGCGCAGCACAUUUUGCGCUUCUUGUCAAUUAUUGUUGGCAUCCAUCAAGUACAAUUCUAACU